AUUGAACGCUGGCGGCAGGCCUAACACAUGCAAGUCGAACGGUAACAGGAAGCAGCUUGCUGCUUUGCUGACGAGCGGCGGACGGGUGAGUAAUGUCUGGGAAACUGCCUGAUGGAGGGGGAUAACUACUGGAAACGGUAGCUAAUACCGCAUAACGUCGCAAGACCAAAGAGGGGGACCUUAGGGCCUCUUGCCAUCGGAUGUGCCCAGAUGGGAUUAGCUAGUAGGUGGGGUAACGGCUCACCUAGGCGACGAUCCCUAGCUGGUCUGAGAGGAUGACCAGCCACACUGGAACUGAGACACGGUCCAGACUCCUACGGGAGGCAGCAGUGGGGAAUAUUGCACAAUGGGCGCAAGCCUGAUGCAGCCAUGCCGCGUGUAUGAAGAAGGCCUUCGGGUUGUAAAGUACUUUCAGCGGGGAGGAAGGGAGUAAAGUUAAUACCUUUGCUCAUUGACGUUACCCGCAGAAGAAGCACCGGCUAACUCCGUG
This 490-nucleotide ribosomal RNA is filed under the name uncultured bacterium. RNAcentral's name for it is "partial 16S ribosomal RNA". It matches the Rfam family "Bacterial small subunit ribosomal RNA", at positions 30 to 507 of the family's 1533-position model. The record is from RNAcentral.